Herpailurus yagouaroundi (jaguarundi) is the source of this 1262-nucleotide long non-coding RNA. RefSeq lists it as uncharacterized. The transcript has 3 exons. Lineage: Eukaryota; Metazoa; Chordata; Mammalia; Carnivora; Felidae. The record is from RefSeq and is a predicted model, not a curated record.
UGAAAAAGAGAACUACCCUAUGAUCCUGCAAUUCUGCUUCUGGGUAUCUAUCCAAAGCUCACGAAAACACCAUCUCGAAAAGAUAGGUGCACCCCCUGUUUAUUGCAGCAUGCUUUACUAUGGCCAAGAUAGUAUAGAGAAAGGAAUAUUACUCCGCCAUAAAAAAUAAUGGAACCUUGCCAUUUGCGAUGGCAUGGAUGGACCUCGGGGGCGUCAUGUUGAGUGAAGUAAGUCAGACAGAGAAAAAGAUACCUUGUUGAUCGAGCAUCACACUGCAUUAACACUGGGGUCUAUUUCUGGCCUUUCUGUCCUGUUUCCUUCGUGGAUUCUCAGGUCUCAGGUUCUCCGGUUCGGCGUGGAGGACACGAAGGAGGGUGAGGGAGGGACGUUGUCCUCCAGUUCACGGCUGUCGAGCAGAGAAGUGGGGCCGGUGUGGACACCCUGCCAUUCUCUAAUGGAGAUCUGCUUCGAGUGUUGCGUUUUUCUGAUGUUUCCGGUGUCCUACAGGAGGGCGUGUGGCUGAACAAUGAGGACAGACCGCUCUACACUCUGCGUCUUCGUGUAGACCCUGCUGGGCACGCAGACCCCUUGAUAGGAACCGUACAUCGGAGCGACAUUUCUGUGAAACGAAACAGAUGCACCGACCACACGGAACCGAUCCUGUUUACCUUGCCCGCUGUUACGAGGACCGCGGCUUGCGGGGCAACAUAUAAACACGUUCUCUGCUCUGACCUUCUGUAUUAGAGAAGGUACGUUUUACAGCGUGCUUGGACCCUUGAGGAUUUAGGCGGGAUCGCCCCUGGAGGAUAGGCAGCUUGGGGCAGCAGGACACAGAGGGUGCACCUGUGUCCUGUGUUCCCGCCCUGCUCCUGGGAGCUGCCCGGGCAUCAGCCCUGGUGACCGGGAGGGUGUGGUUUGGGACAUCCCAAAGGCGUCCCUCAUUCUGCACUCUCCCUACUUGUCACAGCUGCAUGGGGGGCUGAAGACGAGAACACCUCAGCAUCAGAGAUCAGGGAGAAGAGCCACGUUUCCAUCGGACUGGACGGUCCCCUGCUGUCCACCGGCCUCGGCAUCUCUGCUCUCCAGACAUUUAAAGACACUGUCAACGGCAUCCGGGAUUGGCAAAGGACAGGUGCAGGUCAGAUCUGGCCGGUGGCCUCCCUUACCCAACCUCUCGUGGCAAGAAUGGCUUUUACAUUUUUAUUAUUAUCAGUUUAUACAUUUUUUGAAGUUUAUUUAUUUUUGAGAGAGAGACAAAGAGA